GGCCAAUUAUAUUUAUAUUUGCGAUAAGGACAUAAUUAUGAACUCAAAAUAUGUGAAUGAGAUCGAAAGAGAUUUGAAUGUGAUAAAUGAUUUAGGGCAUUGCAUACUGCAUCUACUCUAAGAUUCAUUAGUCGAGAUGCUAUAUUAUUCUAACAGGUAUACAGUAAUGAGCUCUCAAAGUAUGCAUUGGCCACAUGAUCAAUUUUUAAAGUAUGAAAU
Molecule: unclassified non-coding RNA, 219 nt
Filed under: Hevea brasiliensis (rubber tree)
Lineage: Eukaryota; Viridiplantae; Streptophyta; Magnoliopsida; Malpighiales; Euphorbiaceae
Source: RNAcentral